This 209-nucleotide long non-coding RNA is filed under the name Elaeis guineensis (African oil palm). RNAcentral's name for it is "long non-coding RNA (EGUI_LNC067246)". Lineage: Eukaryota; Viridiplantae; Streptophyta; Magnoliopsida; Arecales; Arecaceae. The record is from RNAcentral.
UCCCGUAUGGAUCACCGUUGGAGGAUUUCUACUUUAGAGUCUUAUGGAGAUCUCUCUAUUACCAGAUCCUUAUCUUCAUAUUUGGUAUAUGACUUCUAAUCUCUUAUUAAUCUAAUUGCUAAUAUUGUUUGAUUGUAAUCAUCAAAGAGUUCCCAGAGUUUUAUGUUUCGGUAGUCAUAUUUAAUUGUUAAACUUAUUUUCAAUAGUUG